Non-coding RNA from Vigna umbellata (rice bean), 2120 nucleotides. The record is from RefSeq and is a predicted model, not a curated record. Lineage: Eukaryota; Viridiplantae; Streptophyta; Magnoliopsida; Fabales; Fabaceae.
AGGUAGUUUCUUUACUGGUAUUCUUUCUGUUUUAGUUCUGUUCUUACUUUUAGCUUGUUUAGCCUAGUUUUAGAGUGUUUUUGUAGGUUGAGUAGUGAAAUUUUGAGUUUAUUGUAGAAUUUAAUUUUUGAGUUGAUUUCUAGCUUUCUUUAGUCAUUUUAAAGUUGCUUGAAUACAUUUUACCUCUGUUUUUACUAAUUUUUCCAGAUUUGCACAUUUCUCAUUUUGCUAGCUUAGCUCUUAAUUUGUAGAUGAUAGAUAGAGUGUCUAAUUUGAGUGGAUAAUUUUUAGUCAUGUUUGUACAGUUCCAUACAUUGAAUUAAGUGAUUUUUACAUGAUGAAUCAUUUGCAAAGAACAGUUUUGACAAAAGUGAACCUUGAGAGAUUUGAACUUGAGUUUUUCUUGUGUGUGCAUUCAUGAAAAUGACAUUCUACGCUUUGCAUUAUUUCUCUUCAUAACUGAUCAUUUGAUGUGCAUUCUUAAUGUGAUCUAGGCCCUCCUUGAAUUAAGGCACUUGCCAAAUAUAGGCUACCUUGGAAAAUUUUCCCUAGCACCUAUUUUUGACCCUGUUUUUAGCCUUUUAUUCAGAUUUUUAUGUCCAUUGUCAACCUUGGACCUGUAAAACCAGAUUAUACCCUGUCCUAGAGCUGUGAGGUAAAGUAGGCUGUGUGUUAUCGGACAUUGUUGAGUUCAAGUGUGGGGGUAUCAUUGAAAAAGAGGCAUGUGACUGAGUUGAUGGCUGAAACAGUUUGUGAAUCAUUGAAAAGUGAGAGAAAAAGCUGGAACAAAAUGGGAAAAUUCUGGUGAAGAAAAAUAAGAUGGGUAUAGUGUUUCAAAAGCAUCCCCAGGUCAAACAGACACAACAGCUGUAGACAGGCAACCAGAAAAGGUUGGCCUUAAAAUGGUCAGGAAAGAUGAGGAGAGCAUUCAAGAUCUGUCUUCAUCUUUUAAGAGAGUUAAAUUAAGUACCUCAGAAAAAGAGAAGGAAGUAUCCAAAUCAUAUGAAGCAGUGGUCAAAUCCUCUUCCAAUCUAGCUAUUAAAAAGAAAGAUGCACAUUCUGUUUCCAUAUCAGAAAGACCAUAUGAUGAGGAAAACAAUAAUUCCACAAGGAAAUAAAUGCAAUGUGAAGGGGAGACAAGUAGAGUUACUGCUAAUGGUGGUGCUUCCACUUCCAAUUUUGAUCGUGACAAUGUUAAAGAGAAAUUCCAGGUAGAAAAAGUGGGUAGAUCGUGUGAGACUAAACUCAAAUCUCCCUUAAAUCUGCUGGUGAAAAGAACCUAGCCGUACUGUUACUUGGGCGGAUAAGAAAAUCAAUGGUGCUGGGAAUAAUGAUCUUUGUGAGGUUGAAGAAUUUGGAGAUAUUAGAAAAGAAUAUGAAUCACGAGGUAACGUAGAUAUUGCUGAUGAUGAGGAUAUGCCACGUCAAGCAUCAGCAGAAGCUUGUACAAUUGCAAUUAAGCCAAGCAUCAGAAGCAGUUGCAUCUGGAGACUCAGAUGUCACUGAUGCUGUUUCUGAAGCUGGAAUUAUUAUAUUGCCUCUGCCACAUGAUGCUGUAGAGGAAGGUACUAUGGAGAUGAUGCUAUGCUACAAAAUGAUUCGGUUACUCUGAAAUGGCCAAGAAAGCCUGGAAUUUCGGACAUUGAUUUCUUUGAAUCUGAUGACCCAUGGUUUGAUGCUCCACCAGAGGGUUUCAGUUUGAAUGCAAAAGCAAUUGGUCAGACAUGACAUGGUGAGGAAUAUAUGCUGAUGGAAGUUAUUGGCUUUCAGUAAGAAAAUAGGAUCUGAAGCAAAAGCUUUUGCUUUUAAGUAAAUAUAUUAUAUGCAGGGAACUGUAGGAAGUUAGUGCUUAAGGAAUAAACCAAAGGAGAAAGUGUUGAGAUUUCUCCAAUCUUAGGUAUAUUACCAUAUGUGUUCAUAAUAUGUUCUUGAAAUUACUUUUUGGAGUCAAGGGAAAAAUAGAUAUCAAGAUUGCAACCUGAAUUCUUGGUGUUUCUGCUACUUUAAGCUAAAAGCUUUGUUUUGAAAUUCACGUUGGUGAAAACUUCAAGCUAUCAUACUGUUAUGAAUUAAAAGUAAAAUCUGGUGAUUGCAGUUCUGAAGUUGUGGCCAUUCUGGAA